RNAcentral lists this ribosomal RNA (441 nucleotides) under uncultured bacterium. RNAcentral's name for it is "bacterial SSU rRNA". It matches the Rfam family "Bacterial small subunit ribosomal RNA", at positions 354 to 796 of the family's 1533-position model. The record is from RNAcentral.
GUGAGGAAUAUUGCUCAAUGGGCGAAAGCCUGAAGCAGCGACGCCGCGUGAGGGAUGAAAUCCGUUAGGAUGUAAACCUCUUUUGCAGGGGAAGAAUGUACGCCUUAGGCGUAUUGACGGUACCCUGCGAAUAAGCACCGGCUAACUACGUGCCAGCAGCCGCGGUAAUACGUAGGGUGCAAGCGUUGUCCGGAAUUACUGGGUGUAAAGGGUCCGCAGGCGGGCAAGAAAGUCAGUGGUGAAAGACUUCGGCUCAACCGAAGAAUUGCCUUUGAUACUUCUUGUCUUGAAUCCGAGAGAGGAUAGCAGAAUUCAUGGUGUAGCGGUGAAAUGCGUAGAGAUCAUGAAGAAUACCAGUAGCGAAGGCGGCUAUCUGGCUCGGUAUUGACGCUCAGGGACGAAAGCGUGGGUAGCAAACAGGAUUAGAAACCCUAGUAGUCC